GACGGGUGAGUAACACGUGGGUAACCUGCCCAUAAGACUGGGAUAACUCCGGGAAACCGGGGCUAAUACCGGAUAACAUUUUGAACCGCAUGGUUCGAAAUUGAAAGGCGGCUUCGGCUGUCACUUAUGGAUGGACCCGCGUCGCAUUAGCUAGUUGGUGAGGUAACGGCUCACCAAGGCAACGAUGCGUAGCCGACCUGAGAGGGUGAUCGGCCACACUGGGACUGAGACACGGCCCAGACUCCUACGGGAGGCAGCAGUAGGGAAUCUUCCGCAAUGGACGAAAGUCUGACGGAGCAACGCCGCGUGAGUGAUGAAGGCUUUCGGGUCGUAAAACUCUGUUGUUAGGGAAGAACAAGUGCUAGUUGAAUAAGCUGGCACCUUGACGGUACCUAACCAGAA
This 402-nucleotide ribosomal RNA is filed under the name Bacillus cereus. RNAcentral describes it as "bacterial SSU rRNA". It matches the Rfam family "Bacterial small subunit ribosomal RNA", at positions 100 to 488 of the family's 1533-position model. Lineage: Bacteria; Bacillati; Bacillota; Bacilli; Caryophanales; Bacillaceae. The record is from RNAcentral.